CCAGUAACCAGCCAGCUCCCCACGUGGCUUGAAAUUUCCAUCUAAAAGAUCACAGAUAACAAAACUGGGGGAACUGUCUCCAAAAGAAAACUGUUAAAAUGGAAAUGUUGUGUCUGAAGAGGAAAGGGACCCAUAAUUUCUUCUCUGUGCUUUUUUUCAUUGACACUUGGGUUUAGAGUUGAGAAUCUCAGACACAUAUAAUUCCAAACACAGAUUCUUAGAACAGUCUGUAAGAGCACCUAGUCGACACCUAGUCAACAACUUCAUUUAAAAAUAUGAAAACAGAGUGUUCUAGAGGGCAAAACUGUCUCCUGGCCUCAACAGUGUCUAUUGCAGCCAUUACAGCAAAAGAAAUGAUGGUGAAAAAAAAUUCCUUUGCAAAUCAGAUUUAAUGUGGUGAGCUUCUUAACAACAUGCAAUGUUCAACAGAAAUCACAAUUUGAAUGGACAGAUUUUAGUGAGGUCAAGAGGGGUUGUCGGAACACUCACAAAAACCACUUUAACAAUCACAAAUGUUUAAUUCUCAAAUCUUGAGAGAAUACAUAAGCAUUUUACAAAU
RNAcentral lists this long non-coding RNA (559 nucleotides) under Ovis aries (sheep). Its description in RNAcentral is "lncRNA (ENSOARG00000026045.1)". Lineage: Eukaryota; Metazoa; Chordata; Mammalia; Artiodactyla; Bovidae. The record is from RNAcentral.